AGUUCUCUUAAGUACAUAAUUUGGCCCCAGCCAUCACUGCUCCCUAAAGGUUCAGUGGCUACAUGCUCACCUGGGUAGGCUAUGCAUGAAAACCUCCCCGUGGAACUGGUCUCUUGGCUUCUCUGCCAAGAUGCGCUGAGCAAUGGAUUUGCAAUUCUCCUCUCAAGUUUGGUCUGUAACGAAGACACCUGCUCACCAGGAAAUGAUCCGAGGCCACCAACUCAUUCCACAUACCCAGUGAACAGCUGUCACAUGAUAACAACUUCGAGGCACUACUGACCUGUGACAAAUCUGAACCAAUGACCUAGAGGUGAAAGAUUGGGUAUACUGCAGCUGCGGAAAUUAUCGCAUCCCUGAGGCCCCAGCAAUGGCUGCAAGUGAAGAUUGGCUACUAUACUGAAAUCUUGAAGGAAGAUUUAUUUCUCCCGGACGCCAGUGGAUCUCCCUGGAGCAUAGCUUGGCUCUUCAGGCUAUGUGCUGGGAACAGCAUUUGCCCCAUUGAGAGGGAAUUGACCAUGACACCGCGGGUUAGCUGGUACUCUUUUAAAAAAGACCCAUGUAAUUUUUAUCUUACACUUGGACAGGUGCCAGAGACAGGCAGAAGAGGACUGGGUUUAGCAUAUCCUUUGAAGAACAGCACAUUAAACAGUGCAGCACCCAUGAUACUGCAAUGUCAGUAUACUUGAACUCACAUCAUCUUCCUCACAGUUAAAAGUGAUGCAAAAGGCACUAAGUAGUGGGUGUAAAGUAGAAGCCAAACUGAAAUAUAGAGCUUCUCCUAAAGAGUUCAUUGUCUUUAUAUCACAUCACCCAGGCCCUCUUUAGCAUGUAAAAGCUUUUUAUAAGCACACGUUUGAAGAUUUCUAAUCUAUUUAGUGGAACUGUGUCAUCAUAUACUAAAUAUACUAACUUACAUGAGUGAAAAGUUAAGGUUGCAAAUGUAAGCACAAAAAUAUUGUGAUCUGCAGCUCCUUGCAGU
This is a non-coding RNA of Pelodiscus sinensis (Chinese soft-shelled turtle), 979 nucleotides long. NCBI's taxonomy places the organism in Eukaryota, Metazoa, Chordata, Testudines, Trionychidae. The record is from RefSeq and is a predicted model, not a curated record.